GCGCUAAAAUCUGAAACACCAAAAUAUCUCAUAUUGGGAAUUAAUGGAGAAAAAAAAAAAUACAAUUAAGCCUAAAGAGUGAGACAGUGAAGUCCAAGAAAAAGGAGCAGCAUGCUUCUUCUUCCAUCUUCCAGCAAUAUGAUAUCAUCAACAAUACAGACCUAGACAAAACAAAACUAAACUUCAACAUAUCACAACACAGACAACAUUAACUAAACAAAAAUAAAUCUCUCUCUCUCUCUCUCGCUCUCUCUGUCUCAAAUCUCACCUCUUGCUGUGGUGCAGAUCUCAAGGGGGAUCUGAAGGGAGGUGAGGUUUUGAUUGGGGGAGGGGGCAAGACGCCUCCUUUUUAGGGUUUUCUACAAUGGCCACACCCUUUACGUUUCCCCUCUCCGCUACUCAGGUGGGUACCUACUUUGUGGGGCAGUACUACCAUGUUCUUGAGACCAAGCCCGAGUUGGUGUAUCAGUUCUACUCUGACGCCAGCACUGUGAUACGAAUUGAUGGCAAUGCCAGGGACACUGCCACUGCAAUGCUGCAAAUCCACGCGCUUAUUAUGUCAAUCAGUUUUACUGGAAUUGGAAUCAAGACAGUACAAUGUCUGGAAUCUUGGAGUGGUGGCGUUCUUAUAUCGGUUUUUGGUUCUGCACAACUAAAGGACUACAAUGUGAGGAGGAAAUUUAUGCAAUUAUUCUUCCUUGCACCCCAAGAAAUGGGCUUCUUUGUGCUCAAUGAUAUUUUUCACUUUGUUGACGAGGAGCCAGUUCAUAAUCUCCAGCCUGCAUUUUUGGCUCAGAGCAAUUUUGACUCAAAAUUAAAUGCUCCUAGUACAAUUAAUAAACCAGUUUCCAACUACCUGUUGGGUGGAGAUAUACAGGCAAGGGACUUCGGUGCUACAAAUGAGGUCAAAGAAAACGGGGCAGUCAAUACCUAUGGAUUUUCACAGCAACAAAUUGCACAAGUCCAUGAAUCUGAACAUGUUCAGGAAGAUGUCAUCGCUGAAGAGUCACAUGGUUUUUUUCAACCUUCUGUGAAUGAUGUACAAGAACAUGCACCUUCUUCUGCCGAAGAACCUCCCGAGGAGCCCCUAAAACAUACUUAUGCUUCCAUCUUACAGGUUGCUAAAGGACAAGUUACACCAUCUGUAGCUUCUCAGCCAUCUCUGAAGAAGGUGCCUUCUUUGGACAAGGAGCAUUCUACACCAACUAGUAGUCAGAAAACACCUACAUUGACUAAAGCAUUUGAAAGGUCUGAAACUGAUGUAGCGGAGGACAUUCCCACAGCUGAUGAUGAAGAUGAAAUCAAAUCUGUUUAUGUGAGAAACUUGUCCCCUACCGUCUCUGCUUCUGAAAUUGAAGAGGAAUUGAAGAAUUUUGGCAGGAUUCGACCUGAUGGUGUAGUCAUAAGAAGUCGCAAGGAUGUGGGAGUCUGCUAUGCAUUUGUUGAAUUUGAAGAUAUGAAUGGGGUUCAUAAUGCAGUCAAGGCAGGAUCUGUUGAAGUAGCAGGAAGACAAGUAUACAUUGAGGAACGAAGACCAAACAGUAACAUCCCUUCCCGAGGAGGAAGGAGGGGCAGAGGAAGAAGUGGCUAUCAAUCAGAUGCACAGAGAGGGCGUUUUGGUCCAAGGAGCUAUGGCAGGGGAAAUGGGCAAGAUGGAAGUGAAAGAGAGUACAAUAAAACAAGAGGAAACGCUUUCUAUAGACCCACUACCCGCCAAUAGAGGGGGUAUUGAGAUUAUCAAGAAUAUCACUUGAACAUGGCUCUGCCUCUAAAUUUCAGCUUUCCCCAUCAUCUGUUUCCCAGAGAAAGGACGUAUAUGCUGCUAGAACAUUGCUGAAAGAAGAAAAGUUGUAACAGUUGCAUCUUAAUUAUUUAUAAUUACAAACAUGUUCAGAAGCAUAACGUUUUAUAUAAGAUGUGUCUCAAAACUGUACCUAUUCCCAGGAGUAGCCUGAACUGCUUGCUCAAAUAAAAAUGAAGCUUUUUCCUCGUCA
This is an RNA transcript of Vigna radiata var. radiata (mung bean), 1994 nucleotides long. It is a transcript of the gene named putative G3BP-like protein, with no coding region annotated. Lineage: Eukaryota; Viridiplantae; Streptophyta; Magnoliopsida; Fabales; Fabaceae. The transcript is spliced from 11 exons. The record is from RefSeq and is a predicted model, not a curated record.